Molecule: ribosomal RNA, 301 nt
Filed under: uncultured bacterium
Lineage: Bacteria
Description: partial 16S ribosomal RNA
Rfam family: Bacterial small subunit ribosomal RNA
Source: RNAcentral
CAGCAGCCACGGGAAUACAGAGGGUGCGAGCGUUAAUUGGAUUUACUGGGCGUAAAGCGUGCGUAGGCGGCUUUUUAAGUCGGAUGUGAAAUCCCUGAGCUUAACUUAGGAAUUGCAUUCGAUACUGGGAAGCUAGAGUAUGGGAGAGGAUGGUAGAAUUCCAGGUGUAGCGGUGAAAUGCGUAGAGAUCUGGAGGAAUACCGAUGGCGAAGGCAGCCAUCUGGCCUAAUACUGACGCUGAGGUACGAAAGCAUGGGGAGCAAACAGGAUUAGAUACCCGCGUAGUCCCUGUCUCUUAUAC